RNAcentral lists this ribosomal RNA (473 nucleotides) under uncultured bacterium. RNAcentral's name for it is "SSU rRNA". It matches the Rfam family "Bacterial small subunit ribosomal RNA", at positions 26 to 518 of the family's 1533-position model. The record is from RNAcentral.
AGAUUGAACGCUGGCGGCGUGCCUAACACAUGCAAGUCGAGCGGUAACAGGUGUAGCAAUACAUGCUGACGAGCGGCGAACGGGUGAGUAAUGCUUUGGAAUCUUCCCAGUAGUGGGGAAUAACCAGUCGAAAGAUUGGCUAAUACCGCAUACGUCUGUAAAGGGAAAGCGGGGGCUCGUAAGACCUCGCGCUAUUGGAUGAGCCAAAGUCGGAUUAGCUAGUUGGUGGGGUAAUGGCCUACCAAGGCGACAAUCCGUAGCUGGUCUGAGAGGAUGAUCAGCCACACUGGGAUUGAGAACGGCCCAGACUCCUACGGGGGGCAGCAGUGAGGAAUUUCGUCAAUGGGGAAACCCUGAACGAGCAACGCCGCGUGCAGGAAGACACUUUUCGGAGCGUAAACUGCUUUUCUCGGGGACGAGUAAGGACGGUACCCGAGGAAUCGAGCCCCGGCUAACUACGUGCCAGCAGCCGC